AAAUAAGAAGCAAAAUUUGCAUUCAGUUUCGACCUGACGUUUAGAUGAAUUUUUUUUCUUUCAUCCUUAUUUA
RNAcentral lists this transfer RNA (73 nucleotides) under Conocephalus differentus. Its description in RNAcentral is "tRNA-Arg". The record is from RNAcentral. Lineage: Eukaryota; Metazoa; Arthropoda; Insecta; Orthoptera; Tettigoniidae.